Molecule: ribosomal RNA, 492 nt
Filed under: uncultured bacterium
Lineage: Bacteria
Description: partial 16S ribosomal RNA
Rfam family: Bacterial small subunit ribosomal RNA
Source: RNAcentral
AGUGAACGCUGGCGGUAGGCCUAACACAUGCAAGUCGAACGGCAGCACAGUAAGAGUUUGCUCUUACGGGUGGCGAGUGGCGGACGGGUGAGGAGUACAUCGGAAUCUACUUUUUCGUGGGGGAUAACGUAGGGAAACUUACGCUAAUACCGCAUACGACCUACGGGUGAAAGCAGGGGAUCUUCGGACCUUGCGCGAUUGAAUGAGCCGAUGUCGGAUUAGUUAGUUGGCGGGGUAAAGGCCCACCAAGGCGACGAUCCGUAGCUGGUCUGAGAGGAUGGUCAGCCACACUGGAGCGGAGACACGGUCCAGGCUCCUACGGGAGGCAGCAGUGGGGAAUAUUGGACAAUGGGCGCAAGCCUGAUCCAACCAUACCGCGUGGGUGAAGAAGGCCUUCGGGUUGUAAAGCCCUUUUGUUGGGAAAGAAAAGCAGCAGGUUAAUACCCCGCUGUUCUGACGGUACCCAAAGAAUAAGCACCGGCUAACUUCGUG